This 1352-nucleotide long non-coding RNA is filed under the name Nicotiana benthamiana. RNAcentral describes it as "long non-coding RNA (NBEN_LNC038618)". The record is from RNAcentral. Lineage: Eukaryota; Viridiplantae; Streptophyta; Magnoliopsida; Solanales; Solanaceae.
ACUUUGUCGCUCAAACCUGCUAUCAAGCACAACCUGUGAGCAUUUUGGGUAUAUUUUGUUGUAAAUUAUACUCAAAGCAUAUGCAAAUAAGGGCAUAAAACACAUUAAAAUCCUACUUAUCAGUUACAUAAAUGCGCGCCUGAGUUUAAGAAGGUAGAUUUUAAAUAGCACGCCUAAAACAACUAUGCACUUUCAAGUUUGCGAGGGCCAUGGAAAAAUUCAACUAAUGGCAUACCUCGAUUCUAAAUUCAAAGGAUUGCAUUCAACUAAAACAAACUAUGAAUGUUCAUAUUUAAAAUUAAUUAGGUAUUACAACGACGCUACAAAAAUCGUAUCCAAAGUUAUGAUGAUUCACCUAUGCGUUUAAAAGUUUAUCUACCCACGUGUUAAUAUCUUAAAACAUACUCCAAUCAAUUAUAUAUACACGUACAUACAAAGAAUAAAGCAACAGAUAUCUCUUUUCUAAGGAUAUAAAUGAAACCUCAUGGCUUUCGCAGUAAAACAAGUAACAGACCUAAAUAUAACUUAAUUCAAUAUGUGAAUUAUAUGUACCAUCCAUCUUCUUUCUUUUUCUUUGCACCUAAUCCCAGCAGCCCCUUUGCAUUUUUGUUUCAAUUUCCUUAAGAAUGAAAUUAAUAUGAAUUUUCCAGCCUUAAUCACCAUUGAAUCUAGCCAUGCGAUCUCAUUACAAAAUCAAGCAAUUUCAAUUCAAAACAUCACAAGUUCAAAUUAAUUUAUCACUCAAAUAUUACAUAGCCAGAAUCAAGGAAUAUAAUAUAGGAUAGAAAUAAACCUUGAACGACACUUUAAUUAACCUUUGCCCAGAUGUGCGAACAUUUAGAAAAACACAGCGACAAACAACAAAUCGAAACCCACCCGAAUGCAGAAAUCGAACGACAACCUCACGUAAAUGGUGUAAAACUCAGAGAUGGCAGUGUGUUUAGGUUGGUGCGGGGAUCACGAGCGGAUUCCUAAUGACCGCUCUUCCUCUCGUCACUCUUUUCUCUAUGUCCAGAUGCGUACCGGUGGCAACGAUGGCUGCUGUAGCUGGGAGGGGUCUUAAGGUGUAUUUUCCGGCUGAAAAAUAGGAAGAAGAAGAAGCGACUAUGGGUGGCUAAGGUUCUGGUUCGAUUUCUGGCGUGGUGACAACGAUGAUGUUCAAAGGGGGCAGGGGUCGUGUAGUUGGUUUAUGCUGCUGAAAAAGAUGAGUAACGGGGUCGUUUCCUUGUUGAAAAGUUGCGCAAUUUUUUAUUUUUAUUUUCAGGCGUGUUUUCUUUUGUAUCCCCUUAGCCGAUAGGUCUUAGUCCUAUUAAAUAGAUCUAGAUUUAUAUUUUGUGUAUUUUAUCAAUUAG